CUCACCAGUGUCACCACUCACAGCUGAGCUGAAAGCAAAAGCAGGCCAAGCAGAGCAAAGCAGUAAGCAGCCAGCACUGUUCGAGUAGCUAAGCUAGUGGUGGUAGCACAGCGGCUUGAAUUGCCCAGCACCAGCUCCGAUCCCAUGGCCAGCUUCGCCUCCCAGCUCCUGGACGUGUUCUACGACCUCGUCGAGCGCGUCACCGGCUACAGCGCCCGCGCCCAAGACGACAAAGCGCAUGCAGAUCUACAGAAGCACAGCAUGUUGGCAACUAGGGAGGCUUUCCGGACAGAGGAAGUUGUCGAGAUCAGGUCCAGAAAUCACCCGGAAGUACCAGGAGGGUCAGGCGCCCAGGUCAAUUAACAUGCAUGGUAUGUAGGGCUAGCUAGGCUCUACGUACGUCAGAGACAUACAUAACGGCCGUGUGGCUUCUCAUAGACUCGAGAUCAGUGUGCUCAAGAUAGUGUACUUGCUGGUGUGCUUCGAAACUUCAGAUAAUAAGCUCGUGUAUGUCCCAGUAAUGUUUCAGUUUGUUGAUUCCUUAUUACCGUGUCUUGCUAUCUUAACUUCCUGAUCGAGUUUUAUGGGUGCUGUUCUGUUGUGUGCUUGUAACUUGUAAGGCCAAUAAAGCAGUAACUUGAUCGA
Triticum aestivum (bread wheat) is the source of this 645-nucleotide long non-coding RNA. RefSeq lists it as uncharacterized. The record is from RefSeq and is a predicted model, not a curated record. The transcript has 2 exons. NCBI's taxonomy places the organism in Eukaryota, Viridiplantae, Streptophyta, Magnoliopsida, Poales, Poaceae.